GAUGAACGCUGGCGGCGUGCCUAAUACAUGCAAGUCGAGCGAACGGACGAGAAGCUUGCUUCUCUGAUGUUAGCGGCGGACGGGUGAGUAACACGUGGAUAACCUACCUAUAAGACUGGGAUAACUUCGGGAAACCGGAGCUAAUACCGGAUAAUAUUUUGAACCGCAUGGUUCAAAAGUGAAAGACGGUCUUGCUGUCACUUAUAGAUGGACCCGCGCUGCAUUAGCUAGUUGGUAAGGUAACGGCUUACCAAGGCAACGAUGCAUAGCCGACCUGAGAGGGUGAUCGGCCACACUGGAACUGAGACACGGUCCAGACUCCUACGGGAGGCAGCAGUAGGGAAUCUUGCGCAAUGGGCGAAAGCCUGACGGAGCAACGCCGCGUGAGUGAUGAAGGUCUUCGGAUCGUAAAACUCUGUUAUUAGGGAAGAACAGAUGUGUAAGUAACUGUGCACAUCUUGACGGUACCUAAUGAGAAAGCCACGGCUAACUACGUG
Molecule: ribosomal RNA, 497 nt
Filed under: uncultured bacterium
Lineage: Bacteria
Description: partial 16S ribosomal RNA
Rfam family: Bacterial small subunit ribosomal RNA
Source: RNAcentral